GGUACAUAAGCCAUUAGCGCUAUCGUAGGGAAACAAAGAAACAGGUCUACUUGGUGGCAACUCAGGAGUUGCCAUUUCCAAGCUCAAGAAACCCACCACUUCCUCCAUAGAAGGCCUACCUUUACUCUCAUUUAGUGUACAAAGCAAUCCAAUCUCCAAUACUCUUAUUGCCUGUUCCAAGUUCACCACCGAGCCCAUCCUUCUAUCCACUAUUCUCGAUUUCUCAUCUGUCUCGUGCAUUCUCCAUGCAAAAUCUACCAAGUCCUUCUCUUCUUGGCUCACUUCACUGUCCAACCUACCUCUCCCUGACACCACUUCCAGCACAAAAAUGCCGAACUCAAACACAUCAGCCUUUUGACUCACCGCUGCUUCGAAACGCCUUGACUCCGUGUGGGAAAGCACGAAACCGAAGUCGCCCAAAGCUGCCCUGAAGCUAACAUCAAGAAAGACAC
RNAcentral lists this unclassified non-coding RNA (452 nucleotides) under Hevea brasiliensis (rubber tree). The record is from RNAcentral. Lineage: Eukaryota; Viridiplantae; Streptophyta; Magnoliopsida; Malpighiales; Euphorbiaceae.